RNAcentral lists this ribosomal RNA (1776 nucleotides) under activated sludge metagenome. RNAcentral describes it as "bacterial LSU rRNA". It matches the Rfam family "Bacterial large subunit ribosomal RNA", at positions 540 to 2319 of the family's 2925-position model. The record is from RNAcentral.
GAAAUAGAACCUGAAACCGUGUGCUUACAAACGGUAGGAGCCCUUAGGGGUGACUGCGUGGAUUUUGGUUAAUCAUCCUGCGAGUUAUGAUGUGUGGCAAGGUUAAGUAAACGGAGCCGAAGGGAAACCGAGUCUUAAUAGGGCGAUAAGUCGCAUGUCAUAGACGCGAAACCUAGUGAUCUAGGCCUGUCCAGGUUGAAGCUGGGGUAAGACCCAGUGGAGGACCGAACUCACCACCGUUGAAAAGUUGGGAGAUGAGAUAGGUUUAGGGGUGAAAAGCCAAUCGAACUAGGAGAUAGCUCGUUCUCUCCGAAAUGCAUUUAGGUGCAGCCUUAAUAAAGAUAUAUGGGGGUAGAGCUCUGUAUGGCCUAGGGGGCGUAUAGCUUACCGAAGUCAAGCAAACUGCGAAUACCAUAUAUUAAUUAUUAGGAGUGAGUCCAUGGAUGACAAGGUCCAUGGACGAGAGGGAAACAGCCCAGACCAUCAGCUAAGGUCCCAAAUUAUGUCUAAGUGGGGAAGGAGGUGGAUACUCACAAACAACCAGGAGGUUGGCUUAGAAGCAGCCAUACCUUUAAAGAGUGCGUAAUAGCUCACUGGUCGAGAGUAUCUGCGCCGAAGAUUUAACGGGGCUAAGACAUAAACCGAAGCUAUGGAAACUAGAUUUUAUCUAGUUUGGUAGGAGAGCGUUCUGUAAGCCGUAGAAGGUGUACUGUAAGGUAUAUUGGAGGUAUCAGAAGUGAGAAUGCAGGAAUGAGUAGCGAGAAAGAGAGUGAGAAUCUCUCUGGCCGAAAGUCCAAGGUUUCCAGAGGAAGGUUUGUCCGCUCUGGGGGAGUCGGGACCUAAGUCGAGGCUUAAAAGCGUAGGCGAAUGGAAAAUAGGUUAAUAUUCCUAUACCACUAUAUAAACGUUAUUAGAGAUGGAGUGACGCAGGAAGGUAUGUGAGAAGGGCGACGGUUGUCCCUUUCUAAGGAAGUAGUGUGAACAUGGAGGCAAAUCCACAUGUUUAAACAUGAGAUCUUAUGGGUAAGUAGCUUAGGCUAUAAGUCACAAAUCCUAUACUGCCGAGAAAAACUUCUAUUGAGAUUAUGUAGUGCCCGUACUGUAAACCGACACAGGUGGACUGGGUGAGUAACCCGAGGCCGACAGGAUAACUCUAGCUAAGGAACUCUGCAAAAUGGCCCCGUAACUUCGGGAGAAGGGGUACCUAUGUUAUGUGAUAAGAUAAACACUUUGAGCAGAAAUAGGUCGCAGUGAAGAGUCCCAAGCAACUGUUUACCAAAAACACAGGUCUAUGCUAAGCUGAAAGGCGACGUAUAUGGGCUGACACCUGCCCAGUGCUGGAAGGUUAAGAGGAGGAUUGAGAGAUUCGAAUUGAAGCCCCAGUGAACGGCGGCCGUAACUAUAACGGUCCUAAGGUAGCGAAAUUCCUUGUCGGGUAAGUUCCGACCUGCACGAAUGGUGAAAUGAUUUGGGAGCUGUCUUGGCUGGAGACCUGGUGAAGUUGUAAUGUCGGUGAAGAUACCGAUUACCUGCAGUAGGACGGAAAGACCCCGUGGAGCUUUACUGUAGCUUGGCAUUGGGUUUUGGCAAUGUGUGUAUAGGAUAGUUGGGAGACUAUGAUACUAGGGCGCAAGUUUUAGAGGAGUCAAUGGUGGAAUACCAACCAUAUAUUGUCGGAAUUCUAAUCAUUGGUUUGUAGCCAAUGAGACAGUGCUAGGUGGGCAGUUUGACUGGGGCGGUCGCCUCCUAAAGAGUAACGGAGGCGUUCAAAGGUUC